CCUACGGGUGGCAGCAGUGAGGAAUAUUGGUCAAUGGACGCAAGUCUGAACCAGCCAUGCCGCGUGCAGGAAGACGGCUCUAUGAGUUGUAAACUGCUUUUGUACGAGGGUAAACGCAGAUACGCGUAUCUGUCUGAAAGUAUCGUACGAAUAAGGAUCGGCUAACUCCGUGCCAGCAGCCGCGGUAAUACGGAGGAUUCAAGCGUUAUCCGGAUUUAUUGGGUUUAAAGGGUGCGUAGGCGGGAGGAUAAGUUAGAGGUGAAAUCCCGAGGCUCAACUUCAGAAUUGCCGCUGAUACUGGUCGUCUAGAGAGUAGGAGAGGUAUGCGGAAUGCAUGGUGUAGCGGUGAAAUGCAUAGAGAUCACACAGAACACCGAUUGCGAAGGCAGCUUACCAAGCUACAUCUGACGUUGAGGCACGAAAUCGUGGGGAGCAAACAGGAUUAGAUACCCGUGUAGUC
RNAcentral lists this ribosomal RNA (460 nucleotides) under uncultured bacterium. Its description in RNAcentral is "partial 16S ribosomal RNA". It matches the Rfam family "Bacterial small subunit ribosomal RNA", at positions 338 to 795 of the family's 1533-position model. The record is from RNAcentral.